CAAAAACAUCGCCUCCCGCAAAAAUCAAAGUAUAGGAGGUCCUACCUGCCCAGUGAUUAAAUUAAACGGCCGCGGUAUUUUGACCGUGCUAAGGUAGCGCAAUCACUUGUCUUUUAAAUGAAGACCUGUAUGAAUGGUGGAACGAGGGCUUAACUGUCUUCCUUCUCAGGUCAGUGAAAUUGAUCUGCCCGUGCAGAAGCGGACAUAAAAAUACAAGACGAGAAGACCCUUUGGAGCUUAAGACAUAAGAUCAAUUGUGUUAAAAACCCUUAUAAAGAACCAAACAAAACAACACCUGAUCGACGUCUUCGGUUGGGGCGACCACGGGGGAAAACAAAGCCCCCACGUAGAACGGGACAACCCCUAAAACUAAGAGGGACACCUCUAAGUCACAGAACCUCUGACUUAAAAGAUCCGGCACAUGCCGAUUAACGAACCAAGUUACCCUAGGGAUAACAGCGCAAUCCCCUCCAAGAGUCCAUAUCGACAAGGGGGUUUACGACCUCGAUGUUGGAUCAGGACAUCCUAAUGGUGCAGCCGCUAUUAAGGGUUCGUUUGUUCAACGAUUAAAGUUCUACGUGAUCUGA
RNAcentral lists this ribosomal RNA (587 nucleotides) under Brycon henni. RNAcentral's name for it is "partial 16S ribosomal RNA". It matches the Rfam family "Bacterial large subunit ribosomal RNA", at positions 1808 to 2608 of the family's 2925-position model. Lineage: Eukaryota; Metazoa; Chordata; Actinopteri; Characiformes; Bryconidae. The record is from RNAcentral.